RNAcentral lists this unclassified non-coding RNA (343 nucleotides) under soil metagenome. RNAcentral describes it as "partial contains 5.8S ribosomal RNA, internal transcribed spacer 2, and large subunit ribosomal RNA". The stretch from base 1 to 120 matches the Rfam family "5.8S ribosomal RNA", at positions 35 to 154 of the family's 154-position model. The record is from RNAcentral.
GAUGAAGAACGUAGCGAAAUGCGAUAAGUAGUGUGAAUUGCAGAAUUCAGUGAAUCAUCGAAUCUUUGAACGCACAUUGCGCCCGCUAGUAUUCUGGCGGGCAUGCCUGUCCGAGCGUCAUUUCAACCCUCAAGCCCCCGGGCUUGGUGUUGGGGAUCGGCGAGCCUCCGCGCCCGCCGUCCCCUAAAUCUAGUGGCGGUCUCGCUGUAGCUUCCUCUGCGUAGUAGCACACCUCGCACUGGGAAACAGCGCGGCCACGCCGUUAAACCCCCAACUUCUGAACGUUUGACCUCGGAUCAGGUAGGAAUACCCGCUGAACUUAAGCAUAUCAGUAAGCGGAGGA